AACAUCGCCUCUUGUCUAACAUAAGAGGUCCAGCCUGCCCAGUGACACAAUUAAACGGCCGCGGUACCCUGACCGUGCGAAGGUAGCAUAAUAACUUGUUCUUUAAAUGGGGACUAGCAUGAACGGCACCACGAGGGCCUCACUGUCUCCUUUUUCUAAUCAGUGAAACUGAUCUCCCCGUGAAGAAGCGGGGAUAUUAUUAUUAGACGAGAAGACCCCAUGGAGCUUUAAACCCAGUAAGCAACCCUAAUCAACACAACCCACCUAAAUUCCUUCUCCCCUGCUUCCUGGUUUUAGGUUGGGGUGACCACGGAGUAAAACAUAUCCUCCAUGACGUACGGGACUAACCCUUAUCCAAGAAUUACCUUUCUAAGAAUCGACAAAUUGACGUUUUAUGAUCCAAUGUUUUGAUCAACGAACCAAGUUACCCUGGGGAUAACAGCGCAAUCCAUUUUGAGAGCCCCUAUCGACGAAUGGGUUUACGACCUCGAUGUUNGGAUCAGGGUACCCNAAGUGGUGCAGCCGCUACUAAUGGUUUGUUUGUUCAACAAUUAAAACCCUACGUGAU
RNAcentral lists this ribosomal RNA (568 nucleotides) under Fejervarya kupitzi. RNAcentral describes it as "partial large subunit ribosomal RNA". It matches the Rfam family "Bacterial large subunit ribosomal RNA", at positions 1812 to 2604 of the family's 2925-position model. The record is from RNAcentral. Lineage: Eukaryota; Metazoa; Chordata; Amphibia; Anura; Dicroglossidae.